AGCGAACGCUGGCGGCAGGCCUAACACAUGCAAGUCGAACGAACCUUUCGGGGUUAGUGGCGGACGGGUGAGUAACACGUGGGAACGUGCCUUUAGGUUCGGAAUAACUCAGGGAAACUUGUGCUAAUACCGAAUGUGCCCUUCGGGGGAAAGAUUACUCGCCUUUAGAGCGGCCCGCGUCUGAUUAGCUAGUUGGUUGAGGUAAUGGCUCACCAAGGCGACGAUCAGUAGCUGGUCUGAGAGGAUGAUCAGCCACAUUGGGACUGAGACACGGCCCAAACUCCUACGGGAGGCAGCAGUGGGGAAUCUUGCGCAAUGGGCGAAAGCCUGACGCAGCCAUGCCGCGUGAAUGAUGAAGGUCUUAGGAUUGUAAAAUUCUUUCACCGGGGACGAUAAUGACGGUACCCGGAGAAGAAGCCCCGGCUAACUUCGUG
RNAcentral lists this ribosomal RNA (434 nucleotides) under uncultured bacterium. Its description in RNAcentral is "partial 16S ribosomal RNA". It matches the Rfam family "Bacterial small subunit ribosomal RNA", at positions 29 to 507 of the family's 1533-position model. The record is from RNAcentral.